AAGGAUGUUGCUUUGUCGUGGCGGUGGGGUAUGUUUUGUACGGGAUGAG
RNAcentral lists this transfer RNA (49 nucleotides) under Fasciola hepatica (liver fluke). RNAcentral's name for it is "partial tRNA-Asp". The record is from RNAcentral. Lineage: Eukaryota; Metazoa; Platyhelminthes; Trematoda; Plagiorchiida; Fasciolidae.